CGCUCUCCCUCGCUCCAGCGUUCCUCUCUCAUGCUCAUUUCCCCAUAGACACGGACACCGUGAUUCUCGCAGACGAUGCAGGAACCGAUAUAACAUGCCUGCUGGAUUCUGAGAAGCAUCAGGCUGAGCUGGUGGAUUUUAUUCUGGAAUGUAUACCGAGGCAGAGGAACACCGGGCAGCAUGUCUGUCUAACGAAGAAAAGUUCGUCACCUUGAGCCCGGACGAAUUCUCUCUUCUUCAAGACUGUGCACAAUACACAACGAAGAAACUAAGAGAUGUUCUCCAGGAGUUCAUGGAGAUGGGAUUCUGGCCAAGUAUAAUCCAGAAGAGCUCUUGCAACUCUUGUGAAGCACAUUAUAUCGCAGUGUCCAUGCUAAGAAUGCUGUACUCGACCAAAUGUUAUGAUGAUGAUCUAAUUUCAACAGAUUUUAGAACCAUUAAGCUAUAUGAUGUUUUUAUUGGGUAAUGAAACAAUUGUCUUUCCAUAAUUUCUUACCAUCCAUUUACUGAAGAUGCCUCUUACUUGUCAUUUUAUUCUGCGUAGAAGCCAGAAAUCUUCAAGGUAAUUUGUCUUUUUAUAGUUUUACAGCCUGAUAAUGCAGUUAUUAUGUUAGUAUGAAGUAUUAACCGAGUAUUCACCGUCAGCAGGAAAUUGACUUUGAGGGUUUCAAGCUCUUUCUGGAGAAUGAACUUGCUGUGGAGUUCUCUCAGCAUCUCUUCCUCGGUUUCUGCAACAAAGACCCCAAGCCAAGCCUCUCCGUGAUGGACAAGCAGAGGAUCAUGGAUGGGAACAGGUUUUUAGACAGUAAGGUGAGUCCUCUUUCCAGCAGUCCCUCCAGUUUAUUACUGUUUUAAGUCAAUCCCUCUUAAUACAGCACUUUAUACAAUAGAGAAUUUGUUUCAAAGCAGCUUCACAGUAAUAAACAGGAAAAUAACAAUCAAUGAUGCAAAUUUCUUUAAAUAAAAGCUUAAUUCUAUAGAAGACAAUACUGUCAGUGUUCAGCUCGAGUCAGUUCAGUGUUGAUUCAAUUCAGCUCGUUUUGAUGUUGCAAAAAUUGUCAAUUAUGAAGCAGUCGAUUUGAGCUUCUCAAUUCAGUUCAAGUUUUAUUCUCAUCCAACAGUAUCA
Non-coding RNA from Pimephales promelas (fathead minnow), 1126 nucleotides. Lineage: Eukaryota; Metazoa; Chordata; Actinopteri; Cypriniformes; Leuciscidae. The record is from RefSeq and is a predicted model, not a curated record.